This 253-nucleotide ribosomal RNA is filed under the name uncultured bacterium. RNAcentral's name for it is "partial 16S ribosomal RNA". It matches the Rfam family "Bacterial small subunit ribosomal RNA", at positions 524 to 776 of the family's 1533-position model. The record is from RNAcentral.
UACAGAGAGUGCGAACGUUGUUCGGAAUUACUGGGCUUAAAGCGCACGUAGGCGGUUCUGUAAGUGUCAGGUGAAAUCCCUCGGCUCAACUGAGGAACUGCCUUUGAAACUGUCGGGCUCGAGGCCGGGAGGGGGUAGGGGAAUUCCCAGUGUAGCGGUGAAAUGCGUAGAUAUUGGGAGGAACACCGGUGGCGAAGGCGGCUACCUGGACCGGUACUGACGCUGAGGUGCGAAAGCGUGGGUAGCAAACAGG